GAAGCAGCUCUCCUGGCCAGAGACUGCCGGUCCACAAUUGAUCCUAAAUGGGAAAAACAAUGAAGACACCCAUUGGAGCUUUAAUCACAUUCUUGUGGCUGCAGCUGGAUGGUGUCAGCCUGGGAAAUGAGGUGGAGCAGGGUCCUUCUACCCUGAGUGUCCAGGAGGGAAACAGCUCUGUUAUCACCUGUACUUAUAGAGACACAGCUUCAGACUACUUCCCUUGGUAUAAACAAGAACCUGGGAAAGGUCCCCAGCUCCUUAUAGCUAUUCUUUCAAAUCAGGGCAAAGAAGAAGACCAGAGACUGACUGUUUUACUGAAUAAGACAGCCAAACGUCUCUCCCUGCACAUCGCAACCACUGAAGCUGGAGACUCAGCUGUCUACUUCUGUGCAGCAAGGACACAGUGCUUCCCAGGCAUCUUCUGUCUGUACUCAAACCUGUGACUGGGGCAGCCCCUUUCCUUUGGUGCAACCUUCAAAUAUGACAAAUGUUAUAUUGUUUGUCUGCAGGUGGAAACUGAUGUGCUAGUCAUAAAAAGCAUGUGAAAGAAAGUGAAAGUCACUCAGUUGUGUCCAACUCUUUGCUACGCCAUGGAUAUAGUCCAUGGAGUUCUCCAGGCCAGAAUACUGGAAUGAGUAGCCUUUCCCUUCUCCAGGGGAUCUUCCCCACCCAGGAAUCAAACCCAGGUCUCCCAAUUGCAGGCAGAUUCUUUACCUGCUGAACCACAGGGGAAGCCCAAGAAUACUGGAGUGGGUAGUCUAUUCCUUCUCCAGGGGAUCUUCCCCACCCAGGAAUUGAACUGGGGUCUCCAGCAUUGCAGGCAGAUUCUUUACCCACUGAGCUAUCAGGGAAGCCAUAAAAAGCAUUGGAUAAGAAUAUUAGGCUCAAGGGUAGCUAGAAAGGGUUAGAACAUGUUGUUGGAUACCUGUUGCUUACUGAAUUCUUGAAGAGAGUUAGUAAUUUACUGAUUUAUUUUGAAAUUGUAAGACCGACUUUACAUUUUGCCAUUCUGACUCCUCUUCUACAAAUACUCCCCCUGUUAUCCAUAUCACAAGCCUUAUUAUGGAUGGGUUUUUAAAAUAUUGUGCUUUGAAAACAGCAUAUUUUUCUGAUUAUACAAAUUAUAUGCCAAAUAUAAGAAAAUGCUUUAUAUAAUUAAUAUGAUAUUGAAAAUUCUAUGAUCACACAAUGUUGCUAAUAUUCAGUUUACUCUUUUUAUAAAUU
Non-coding RNA from Dama dama (fallow deer), 1227 nucleotides. NCBI's taxonomy places the organism in Eukaryota, Metazoa, Chordata, Mammalia, Artiodactyla, Cervidae. The record is from the annotation of a RefSeq genome assembly.